Molecule: long non-coding RNA, 507 nt
Filed under: Salmo salar (Atlantic salmon)
Lineage: Eukaryota; Metazoa; Chordata; Actinopteri; Salmoniformes; Salmonidae
Description: lncRNA (ENSSSAG00000094047.1)
Source: RNAcentral
AUGGGUUAGUAUUAUAGGUGUGGUACUGGACAGAUGGGUUAGUAUUAUAGGUGUGGUACUAGACAGAUCGGUUAUGGGUAGUAUUAUAGGUGUGGUACUGGACAGAUGGGUUAGUAUUAUAGGAGUGGUACUGGACAGAUGGGUUAGUAUUAUAGGUGUGGUACAAGACAGAUGGUUUAUGGAUAGUAUUAAAGGUGUGAUAAUAGACAGAUGGGUUAUGGGUAGUAUUAUAGGUGUGAUACUAGACAGAUGGGUUAUGGGUAGUCUUAUAAGUGUGGUACUGGACAGAUGGGUUAGUAUUAUAGGUGUGGUACUGGACAGAUGGGUUAGUAUUAUAGGUGUGGUAGUAGACAGAUGUGUUAUGGGUAGUAUUAUAGGUGGGGUACUAGACAGAUGUGUUAUGGGUAGUAUUAUAGGUGUGGUACUAGACAGAUGGGAUAGUAUUAUAGGUGUGGUACUAGACAGAUGGAUUAGUAUUAUAGGUGUGGUACUGGACAGAUGGCUUAU